This 86-nucleotide transfer RNA is filed under the name Candidatus Portiera aleyrodidarum (primary endosymbiont of Bemisia tabaci). RNAcentral's name for it is "tRNA-Ser". It matches the Rfam family "tRNA". From Rfam's summary of the family: Transfer RNA (tRNA) molecules are approximately 80 nucleotides in length. Their secondary structure includes four short double-helical elements and three loops (D, anti-codon, and T loops). Lineage: Bacteria; Pseudomonadati; Pseudomonadota; Gammaproteobacteria; Johnevansiales (SeqCode); Johnevansiaceae (SeqCode). The record is from RNAcentral.
UGGAGAGGUGUCCGAGUGGACUAAGGAGCACAUUUGGAAAGUGUGUAAGUUAUUGACUUCAAGGGUUCGAAUCCCUUCCUCUCCGU